AUCCCAAUCGUCAAGUGCAUAAUCUCUUGCUAGCAUGUAACUUUCAUUGGAAUUGUCAAGUGCUUGCUUUUUGUAUUUCAAAUAUUGUCUUUACAUUGAGGUAUCGGUGCAUGAAUAAAAGCAUUGCCCGAUACAAUGCGUCGCAUGACAAAUUUUACAUCUUGGACCUCCAAGUAUAAAUGCAUGGUCAAUGUAAAGAUUAGACAUUGCAAACCCUUUAUUAAUUUCCCAAUAUGGGAAUAAUGCAAAUAUAGUUGAAAUCUAGAAGGAGAGAAAACCAACACAAAAUAGAUUAACA
Molecule: long non-coding RNA, 298 nt
Filed under: Olea europaea (common olive)
Lineage: Eukaryota; Viridiplantae; Streptophyta; Magnoliopsida; Lamiales; Oleaceae
Description: long non-coding RNA (OEUR_LNC003149)
Source: RNAcentral